RNAcentral lists this long non-coding RNA (328 nucleotides) under Vigna radiata. RNAcentral's name for it is "long non-coding RNA (VRAD_LNC002016)". Lineage: Eukaryota; Viridiplantae; Streptophyta; Magnoliopsida; Fabales; Fabaceae. The record is from RNAcentral.
GGGGUUGAAAUUGUUUGAGAUGAUAAUUAAACUUAAUUAACAUGCAUGGAAAUUAAACACAACCGAGUAAGAUAGAAAAACAUUAAAGUAAAAUAAAAUGACAGACCCAACAUUGCAACCAACAACUAUCUUGCACAAUUAAAAUUGUUUGUAUGCAUCACUAAACUAAAAGAAAAAUGAAACACAACUCAAUAUACUAUGCCAAAUAUUUUAAAGCAAAGAAAUGAGUGAGUAUAGCUUUCCUCCACCAAUUCACGUGACUUCCAAAGCCUUAAGGUGAAGAAAAUUAAUUCCUCUCUCCUCUCAAGGGUUGACUUAACUUGCUUUG